This 252-nucleotide long non-coding RNA is filed under the name Cyanistes caeruleus (blue tit). Its description in RNAcentral is "lncRNA (ENSCCEG00000022806.1)". Lineage: Eukaryota; Metazoa; Chordata; Aves; Passeriformes; Paridae. The record is from RNAcentral.
CCCUGAUCGUUACAAUUCCCAUCUCUUCUGGACUUUUUAUCCUAAAUAGGUUUUUGCAGCAAAUCACCUCCUCCGCUAAUGUGUCACUGGGAGCCGCUCCGGAGAGCUGAGUCCCAGGAGGUUAGCGGAACCCUUCCUCAGUUUCUGCAUGCCUAUCUCAGAGCUUAUAAAGAGGUGGAGAAAUUACUAUGAAGGCCCCAGUGCAGAAUGCCUGAGAGAAUAAAAUGAUAAGACUGAGAAACUUGGGAACCA